UACAUGGGGAGCAAACGUUGCUCGGAAUUAUUGGGCGUAAAGCGCGCGUAGGCGGUUGCUUAAGUCGGAUGUGAAAGACCUCGGCUUAACUGAGGAAGUGCAUCCGAGACUGAGCAGCUAGAGUACGAAAGAGGGUCGCGGAAUUCCCGGUGUAGAGGUGAAAUUCGUAGAGAUCGGGAGGAACACCGGCGGCGAAGGCGGCGACCUGGUUCGAGACUGACGCUGAGGCGCGAAAGCGUGGGGAGCAAACAGG
This 253-nucleotide ribosomal RNA is filed under the name uncultured bacterium. RNAcentral's name for it is "partial 16S ribosomal RNA". It matches the Rfam family "Bacterial small subunit ribosomal RNA", at positions 524 to 776 of the family's 1533-position model. The record is from RNAcentral.